UUAAAUCGUCUAGAUUCUUGCCAUUAGGGAUGCAGAGAGGCAGUGGCUAUGGCCGUGUUUGAACGCUUCAGAUAUGUACGUACAAGGAUAUAGCAACCCUCAUUUCCACGUGCUCUGUACAGAAGACUCACAUCCCUAUGCCAGGGUAAAAUGCCAGCCAGAAACAUGACUGUCUCACAGCCAGAUUAUUAUCAAGAGUUGUCAGGUACGUAACACUGGGAUUUCUGCCAGGAGGGAAGAAACAAAUGUGCCCUACAGUGUGGAUUUCGGCCCUCAAGUCCGAGUGUGGUUGGAAGAGGUGUGCAUUUCUAAGAUCAUAAACGUCAUUACCUUGACCAUCAACAUGAAGCGAUUAGAGUCAUAUUUAUUGAUGAAACUUUCAGCUCCCAGCCUCCCACACUGAGUGUGUAUCAUACAGCUGUCAGCAGAGCUCGGGCACCACAAAGAUGGAGGGAAAGAGGGAUGCAGAGAGGAGGAAGAGAUAACAGAGCACCAGGAGAAUGAGGUAACUGUCGCUAAGGCAGAAAUGCAAUGGACUCAAAAACUGAUAGAACAACUCUCCAAAUGGGUGGCUCACUCAAGCCGCUUUCCCUGGAUGAAUGUAGCCGUCAUCUCUCGUCAAAGAAGCCUCUCUUUACAGCAAAUGGAGACCACUGCAUAGAACUCCAACUGCACAAUGCAGAGGUCAAUACAUCAUGGCGAGCCCAGCCAGUGGAUGCAUCUGCAUCUGCACUCCUGCGACUCUGGCUCAAGGAACCUCACAGAAGAGCGGAGGGAAAUAUUAUGAGUCAGAAUACUAUGUCUGCCAUGACAGGCAAAAAGUGGGCACGUAAACAAGAUCAGAACAAUGGAAAAGGGAUAAAGCCAGAGGAGCCAUGCUGCACAGGGUUUGAGAUGAAGCCUGUCAGCCAGCAUCAGGGCUGAAAAUUACAGCUGAUUAAAGGAAUAAAAAACCUCCAGGAUCAUCCGCUCUUCUUGAAAUUGACAAGCGAAGGUUCUACCCCUUUAUACGCCUGGUGGGCUCUCAGCUCUGAGAGGAGCUUUUUCCGGAACCCUGUUUAUAACCCCGAGAAGGAGAAAGGAAUGAACUCGCAACCUUUUAGGAGGCUUUAAAUGCUUUGUUUUCACUCCGCAGCUAUUUUUUUUUUUAUCUUAAAAACAAACAACACCAGGGAACUUUGGUUGGAGAAUAAACAGCAUAUCUUCCUAACAGAGACAAAGCUUCCAAAGCCAAGGAAGCAGGUAGCUGUGAGUCCCCAUGUCUGCCGCUUGUUUUAGGGGGAAGGUUUGCAGGUUUAAAAGGCUGCAAAGCCCUGCUUCCCUUUCUGAAGGAGCCCAGGAAAUAAUCUCCUGCAAAUAAAAGGGAGCUUCACACUAUCUGACGGUCACACUAAUAUAAUGCCCUCUAAAACGCUUUGCGAGAACCACGUUCUCAGCCAUUAAGUUCAGGGAUGCGAAGGAGGCACCGUAAUGCCGGC
This is a non-coding RNA of Rattus norvegicus (Norway rat), 1478 nucleotides long. The record is from RefSeq and is a predicted model, not a curated record. NCBI's taxonomy places the organism in Eukaryota, Metazoa, Chordata, Mammalia, Rodentia, Muridae.